RNAcentral lists this ribosomal RNA (544 nucleotides) under uncultured delta proteobacterium. RNAcentral describes it as "bacterial SSU rRNA". It matches the Rfam family "Bacterial small subunit ribosomal RNA", at positions 51 to 571 of the family's 1533-position model. The record is from RNAcentral. Lineage: Bacteria; Deltaproteobacteria.
ACACAUGCAAGUCGAACGCGAAAGGGACUUCGGUCCCGAGUAGAGUGGCGCACGGGUGAGUAACGCGUAAGUAAUCUACCCCUGUAUCUGGAAUAACCCACCGAAAGGUGAGCUAAUACCGGAUACGUUUAUCUUGAUGCGAAUGAUGAUAAAGAAAGGUGGCCUCUUCAUGAAAGCUACCGUACAGGGACGAGCUUGCGUACCAUUAGCUGGUUGGUAGGGUAAUGGCCUACCAAGGCGACGAUGGUUAGCGGGUCUGAGAGGAUGAUCCGCCACACUGGAACUGAAACACGGACCAGACUCCUACGGGAGGCAGCAGUGAGGAAUAUUGCGCAAUGGGGGCAACCCUGACGCAGCGACGCCGCGUGGACGAUGAAGGCCCUUGGGUCGUAAAAUCCUGUCAGAUGGAAAGAAAUGUACAGGUGUUAAUAUCGCCUGUAUUUGACGGUACCAUCAAAGGAAGCACCGGCUAACUCCGUGCCAGCAACCGCGGUAAUACGGAGGGUGCGAGCGUUGUUCGGAAUUACUGGGCGUAAAGCGCGCG